Molecule: ribosomal RNA, 253 nt
Filed under: uncultured bacterium
Lineage: Bacteria
Description: partial 16S ribosomal RNA
Rfam family: Bacterial small subunit ribosomal RNA
Source: RNAcentral
GACAGAGGUGGCGAGCGUUGUUCGGAGUUACUGGGCGUAAAGCGCACGUAGGCGGCUGGAUAAGUCCUGUGUGAAAUCCCCCCGCUCAACGGGGGAACGGCAUGGGAUACUAUCCGGCUAGAGGGUUGGAGAGGAGAGUGGAAUUCCCGGUGUAGCGGUGAAAUGCGUAGAGAUCGGGAGGAACACCUGUGGCGAAGGCGGCUCUCUGGACAACCCCUGACGCUCAAGUACGAAAGCGUGGGGAGCAAACAGG